RNAcentral lists this ribosomal RNA (377 nucleotides) under uncultured eukaryote. RNAcentral describes it as "partial 18S ribosomal RNA". It matches the Rfam family "Eukaryotic small subunit ribosomal RNA", at positions 592 to 975 of the family's 1831-position model. The record is from RNAcentral.
CAAUAGCGUAUAUUUAAGUUGUUGCAGUUAAAAAGCUCGUAGUUGGAUUUCGGGUGGGACGCAGCGGUCUCGCAUUGCGUUUGUACUGCUGCAGCCCUCCUUCUUGCCGGGGGCGGCCUCUCGGACUUCACUGUCUGGGGGUCAGAAUCGGCGAUGUUACUUUGAGUAAAUUAGAGUGUUCAAAGCAAGCUUACGCUCUGAAUAUAAUAGCAUGGGAUAACACGACAGGACUCUGGCCUAUCGUGUUGGUCUAUAGGACCAGAGUAAUGAUUAAGAGGGACAGUCGGGGGCAUUCGUAUUCCGUUGUCAGAGGUGAAAUUCUUAGAUUCGUUGAGGACCAACCACUGCGAAAGCAUUUGUCAAGGAUGUCUCCAUUA